UACGGGGGGGGCAAGCGUUGUUCGGAAUUACUGGGCGUAAAGGGCUCGUAGGCGGCCAACUAAGUCAGACGUGAAAUCCCCCGGCUUAACCGGGGAACUGCGUCUGAUACUGGAUGGCUCGAGUUUGGGAGAGGGAUGCGGAAUUCCAGGUGUAGCGGUGAAAUGCGUAGAUAUCUGGAGGAACACCGGUGGCGAAGGCGGCAUCCUGGACCAACACUAACGCUGAGGAGCGAAAGCCAGGGGAGCAAACGGG
Molecule: ribosomal RNA, 253 nt
Filed under: uncultured bacterium
Lineage: Bacteria
Description: partial 16S ribosomal RNA
Rfam family: Bacterial small subunit ribosomal RNA
Source: RNAcentral